CCACUCUGCUUUAUCCUCUUCUCUGGCUUUCUUCCACUCUGCUUUAUCCUCUUCUCUGGCUUUCUUCCACUCUGCUUUAUCCUCUUCUCUGGCUUUCUUCCACUCUGCUUUAUCCUCUUCUCUGGCUUUCUUCCACUCUCCCAUUUCCCUUCGAAACCAAGCUGGAGGCUCAUCCAGACUAUCUAAUGUCCUUUCAGAUCGGCCCCAUUCAUUUACAAUACCGCGAAAUAGUUUACAACGGUCAUUGUAACACUCGUCGUUAUCAAAAGCCCUUUUCUUGGAAUUGAAUAACGUUCUUUCAGAUUCAACAACAAAAUUCAAAUUUUUCUCUUUGUCUUCCAAUGCUUUCCUUUCUAGCUCAAGCAACUUUUUUUUUGCCGCAAUUUCAAAGUCGUUCAAAAAUCUCCUUCCCUCCUUUAACGACCGUUCGCAGGGAGGUUGAACGCCCAAGUCAUUCGCAAAUAGUUCAUUUAACCUAUUGUCUUCUUCAGACAUAGUUAAUAAUAUUUUCUGCUUUAUAACGUCAAAACGUGGUAGUACGACAAGGUACAGUUUAGC
Molecule: non-coding RNA, 558 nt
Organism: Schizosaccharomyces pombe (fission yeast)
Lineage: Eukaryota; Fungi; Ascomycota; Schizosaccharomycetes; Schizosaccharomycetales; Schizosaccharomycetaceae
Source: the annotation of a GenBank genome assembly